ACUGUAAACUCCUUGUGGCAGCCAUUGUAAAAACGGUGUAUUAAUGAUUAAUGCACAUAAUCUAAACACACUACAUGCCAUAUAUUCCUUGAGCUUAAAGAUGCUUCAAAAUAUUCCUCUUUGAUUUGUUUUACUACUUUGAGAGUAUAAAUAAUUUGGCGUGAGGCAGAUUUGCAGACGACGUUAUGUCUCUUUCUGUCCUGCACCUCCACAGCACGACGACACAGCAGGGUUUCUGCAACUUCUCAAUUUAAUGACGCUUGCCUGUCAUGUUUUAUGAAGGGAACUUUGUUUUUUUUUGUCUACCUCCAUGCAAGCUACCUCUGUCCCCACUCCCGUAAAUGGCUGUGCUAUAUUGACACUGUCUGCACACAGGUUUUAUUUAACUAUGUUUUGACAGUCUCUGAGUUUAAAAUGGUGCAGGUUGAUGCCUACACGUCCACUCAAUAGUGUGAAGGACGACAACCCCUCUGCCUUGUUCUGCUCCAGACGCUUUCUUCUUCACCCUGCUUUAUUUUGUCAUUCAGUCACUGGAAUACAAGAAAUAUUGAUCAGACAAGGACGCGUGUGGCGCAAUCAUGAAGACUGUGACCUGUGGAUAAUAUGGAUGUCCCGCACUCUGGCAAUAGGGUAAAGGUCGUGUCAGCCUGUAACGUUUAAUUGAAUGGUUUCUCAUGGUCACUGUGACACAUGUUUAGUCAAUUUCUCAGCUUUUCUAAAUCAUAUCCAGGGUGAAUAACAUUAAACGAUCGCCCUCAAACAGCUGUUGAUUAAACCUAUGAAGCCAAAACAAAUUUGAACGUGUGACAGUAAAAUUAAAUACUUUCAUAGAAAGUCCCAUUUUCUUCCCAUUCGAGUGUGUUUACACACACUAAUAAUAGUUCAUGCUCACCCAGGAGUCAGAGGAAACCAAAAGUUCAGGCCUAAAGGCUGAGCGGGUCAGACUUUCGUUCCAUACGUGGCUUGGCGUGUGAUUGUUAGAUAGCGAUGCGAUGUGACAGCCAGCAGAGGCUCCGCCCUCCGCUGUGCUUCGGCUUCGUCAGCUGCAGAACAAACCAUUCGAAACCUUCCCGGGCAUAACUCGACAGCCUGUGCAGAGCGACAUGAAGAAAUGUAACGUAUGUAGAUUGCUUCUUUCUCUGGCCUUUCAAUCGUUAUAAAGUAGACCAGCUCAUUUCAGACAAAAGAAACAUCACAGAAAACAAGCCAUAACAUGUGAAGAGACUGUGAGUGCAACAAGUGCAGCUCAAUCGAUGCAGGAUGUUUUGUAAGUGUCAUAUAUGUAUAUAUUCUUUAUUAUGAUUGAGCGUUCCUAUUUUCCGUUGAUCAUUUCUAAAUCAAACGCCGUCCUCAUCACUCUGUCUUGACGCAAGACCUCCAUGUGAAGCCCACUUCAAACAGUCUGCACUCUGUUUUGCGUGGCAUGAGUUUGAUGGGUUUGGUUGGCCCGCGUAAUGCUUCCCAAGGUUUCCAUCGGGCUGAUAAGUGAUGCGAGUAAUCAUACUGCCUGUGCGUACGGUGAGUGAUUGUCCCCGGGGGGGAGAGCAUUAACACCACAGCACAAACAGCAGCGUUUCGUCUGCGUCGUCUUCUGCACUGUGCGUCCAGAUCCAUAUCUCUCUCUUUCACAACACGUUUUGACCACAUCUCAACAUUGUGUACAGAGAUAGACGGAGAACCACAGAGAAAAUUGCUCAUUAUGUACACUCAGUCUUCUGCCAUUACAGAGAGCACCUACCCUGCACUCACACAUUACAUUAUUUUUAGGCCUCUUCGUUGGAGGGACGGAUAGCACUUUAAUCUAAACCCUGCAAGUCCUCAUAGCUCAUAUAGCGAUAGCGGGUGUCAUAUACAGUUCUCCCACACAGCUGUAACUAAAAUUCAAAUGAAUUUAUUCCUGAACAGCUGCGUAGGUCCGCUGGGUUCGACUGUGAUUGAGGCUUCUUCAGUCCAGUUGUCGUUAGAUAAAAAGUUGGGGUAACACAAAGGUUAUUACGAUGCAUCGACUGGGAACAGUGAAUCCAUUGAGCAUUUGUUGAGAUAUUUCAGUCUGGACCAAAGUGAUUACAUGGCUAAAAACUCAUCAAGUUGAGAACUAUGGCCAGAAAAUCUCAACAGUGCUGCAAACAAACAUCCCUCAUUAAUGAAACAUAAAUCAGCUCGCUGAAGUUCUUUUCAAUACGGCUCUUUGUCGUACGAAGACACGUGUCAUCUCUCUUUAGAAGGAGCAGUAAAGGAGGGGGGGCAGGCAUCGGCACACCGCCCCCCCUGUUCCUCUGACUGUUCCUAUGAUGGCGGCUGCUUGAAGGCGGAUUUUGUAAAGGUCACCCGCUGAGUGCACAGACUGCCACAGUUAUAAACACUACAGACACAGCCACAGGAGGAUUUAGAUCUAGCUGUGUUCAAAUAAACAAUUACCCUGGAGAGGCCCUCUCAUACAGAGCACAGUGGCACGUGCCAAUUCCAGCAGACACACAAUCAGUUGCACGUUCCUAAUGGUUGGUAAUGUUCUCAGUAAUGGGCUACAGACAAAUGCGGCUCAAGACUCGUUUGGCCUCAAAAGUCGAACACAUGAAUAAUUCAAGAUUUACGUCGGAUUAUACUAGAAAAUAAACAAAGAUUGCUUCCAAAAAUCCAAUACCAAGAUACAGAUCUCUCAAAUAAGUGCCUGGAUCAAUGGGUUCGCUCAUCCAGGUGUAAUUGAUAUCAGCCCAAUUCAUCAAACAGCAAAUGUGUGACGGUCAACAACUUGUAGGAUUGAGUUCAAAAUCCACACACUUCACUGCCAUAGAUUAUUGAAACCGUGCUAAAUAUUUGAUCAGCCAAGCUACUGACGGGUAAUUACAUAACUCCUGCGGUUUAGUAUGGUAAUUUCAUGUCCAGAAGAGUCG
Gasterosteus aculeatus aculeatus (three-spined stickleback) is the source of this 2891-nucleotide long non-coding RNA. The record is from Ensembl. NCBI's taxonomy places the organism in Eukaryota, Metazoa, Chordata, Actinopteri, Perciformes, Gasterosteidae.